RNAcentral lists this ribosomal RNA (753 nucleotides) under uncultured Bacteroidales bacterium. Its description in RNAcentral is "bacterial SSU rRNA". It matches the Rfam family "Bacterial small subunit ribosomal RNA", at positions 28 to 769 of the family's 1533-position model. The record is from RNAcentral. Lineage: Bacteria; Pseudomonadati; Bacteroidota; Bacteroidia; Bacteroidales.
GAUGAACGCUAGCUACAGGCUUAACACAUGCAAGUCGAGGGGCAGCAUUUUAGUUUGCUUGCAAACUGAAGAUGGCGACCGGCGCACGGGUGAGUAACACGUAUCCAACCUGCCGAUAACUCCGGAAUAGCCUUUCGAAAGAAAGAUUAAUACCGGAUAGUAUACGAAUAUCGCAUGAUAUUUUUAUUAAAGAAUUUCGGUUAUCGAUGGGGAUGCGUUCCAUUAGUUUGUUGGCGGGGUAACGGCCCACCAAGACUACGAUGGAUAGGGGUUCUGAGAGGAAGGUCCCCCACAUUGGAACUGAGACACGGUCCAAACUCCUACGGGAGGCAGCAGUGAGGAAUAUUGGUCAAUGGGCGAGAGCCUGAACCAGCCAAGUAGCGUGAAGGAUGAAGGCUCUAUGGGUCGUAAACUUCUUUUAUAUGGGAAUAAAGUUUUCCACGUGUGGAAUUUUGUAUGUACCAUAUGAAUAAGGAUCGGCUAACUCCGUGCCAGCAGCCGCGGUAAUACGGAGGAUCCGAGCGUUAUCCGGAUUUAUUGGGUUUAAAGGGAGCGUAGGUGGAUUGUUAAGUCAGUUGUGAAAGUUUGCGGCUCAACCGUAAGAUUGCAGUUGAAACUGGCAGUCUUGAGUACAGUAGAGGUGGGCGGAAUUCGUGGUGUAGCGGUGAAAUGCUUAGAUAUCACGAAGAACUCCGAUUGCGAAGGCAGCUCACUAGACUGUCACUGACACUGAUGCUCGAAAGUGUGGGUAUC